Molecule: ribosomal RNA, 619 nt
Filed under: Ciliophora sp.
Lineage: Eukaryota; Ciliophora
Description: SSU rRNA
Rfam family: Eukaryotic small subunit ribosomal RNA
Source: RNAcentral
CUACCAUGGCAGUCACGGGUAACGGAGAAUUAGGGUUCGAUUCCGGAGAGGGAGCCUGAGAAACGGCUACCACAUCUAUGGAAGGCAGCAGGCGCGUAAAUUACCCAAUCCUGAUUCAGGGAGGUAGUGACAAGAAAUAACAACCUAUGUACUUCGGUACUGUGGAUUGUAAUGAGUUCAAUUUAAAACACUGAACGAGGAACAAUUGGAGGGCAAGUCUGGUGCCAGCAGCCGCGGUAAUUCCAGCUCCAAUAGCGUAUAUUAAAGUUGUUGCAGUUAAAAAGCUCGUAGUUGAAUUUCUAGGCAGGUGUAACUUGGACUUUGUUCGGUUAUAUUUGUCUAUCCGACAUUGAACUAUAUUGGAUAUUAAGUUAUCCGUAUAGCGAACUGUCAUUUUACUUUGAAAAAAUUAGAGUGUUUCAGGCAGGCAAUUGCCCGAAUAUCUUAGCAUGGAAUAAUGGAAUAGGACUUUGGUUCAUUUGAUUGGUUAUUGAAUCAGAGUAAUGAUUAAUAGGGACAGUUGGGGGCAUUAGUAUUUAAUUGUCAGAGGUGAAAUUCUUGGAUUUAUUAAAGACUAACUUAUGCGAAAGCAUCUGCCAAGGAUGUUUUCAUUAAUCAA